RNAcentral lists this ribosomal RNA (253 nucleotides) under uncultured bacterium. Its description in RNAcentral is "partial 16S ribosomal RNA". It matches the Rfam family "Bacterial small subunit ribosomal RNA", at positions 524 to 776 of the family's 1533-position model. The record is from RNAcentral.
UACGGAGGGGGCUAGCGUUGUUCGGAAUUACUGGGCGUAAAGCGCGCGUAGGCGGCUUUGUAAGUUAGAGGUGAAAGCCCGGAGCUCAACUCCGGAAUUGCCUUUAAGACUGCAUCGCUAGAAUCAUGGAGAGGUGAGUGGAAUUCCGAGUGUAGAGGUGAAAUUCGUAGAUAUUCGGAAGAACACCAGUGGCGAAGGCGACUCACUGGACAUGUAUUGACGCUGAGGUGCGAAAGCGUGGGGAGCAGACAGG